GGUCCUGUAGUGUAGUGGUUUAUCAUUUCGGAUUUUGAUUCCGACGACCCGAGUUCGAAUCUCGGCUGGACCU
This 73-nucleotide transfer RNA is filed under the name Coemansia sp. RSA 552. RNAcentral describes it as "tRNA-Gln". It matches the Rfam family "tRNA". Rfam says of the family: Transfer RNA (tRNA) molecules are approximately 80 nucleotides in length. Their secondary structure includes four short double-helical elements and three loops (D, anti-codon, and T loops). Further hydrogen bonds mediate the characteristic L-shaped molecular structure. tRNAs have two regions of fundamental functional importance: the anti-codon, which is responsible for specific mRNA codon recognition, and the 3' end, to which the tRNAs corresponding amino acid is attached (by aminoacyl-tRNA synthetases). tRNAs cope with the degeneracy of the genetic code in two manners: having more than one tRNA (with a specific anti-codon) for a particular amino acid; and 'wobble' base-pairing, i.e. permitting non-standard base-pairing at the 3rd anti-codon position. The record is from RNAcentral. Lineage: Eukaryota; Fungi; Kickxellomycota; Kickxellomycetes; Kickxellales; Kickxellaceae.